AAAGAUUCAUGUUCGAAUUCUGCUUGUGAGGGAGCUAGAGAAGAAAUUCAGUGGAAAGGUGAUUCUUUUGGAUGAGAUCCAAGGGUGUCCACCGCCGAAAGCAGUGACUAAUCCCUUUCGCCGCGGGAGCUCUCCCAAAGGAGGUAAACGGCUGGCCACGAAAUGCGCUCCAUUCCCAUAGGCGGGGAUCGAACCCCCAACCACAUGGUUAAGGAAUGAGGUGAGCUACCACCACACCACAUCUCAUGGUUGGAAAGGUGAUUCUUUAAGUUCUUUGGUUCUCUGCCAUUUAUGAAAUCUAGAUUUAACCCAGACUGGGUUUUCUUCGUGAUGUUUUUCUGUAUUCUAGGCACUACAUUUUGCGCCUUAGAGUCAAGGAUAUUUUAUUUUUAUCUUUUAGGCCCUGUUUGGUGGGCUAGACUGUACAAGACUUUUUCAAUUAAAAUGGACUAUAAUCCUAGCUGUUGUUUGGUGAGCCUAAAUGCACUAUGGGACUGGUUAAGACUCAUAUUUUAAAUAGGAUACCAAUCCAGCGAACGAGGGUUUUGUAAACCCAAGUGGAACCAUGGGUUUCGAAGCCUCCGCCUCCGUCUUCUUUUCAUCGUCUUUCUUCUCUUCUUCUAUUCAUCUUUAUCUCUGAUGCUCCCAGGUUUAGAACGAAGCCUCUCUUCUCAGGCUUUGUGACUGAGCCUUGUCGACUUCGCAGGCUUUGUGACUGAAAUUGAAGCAAAAAUCAAGAGAGAAGAAUGAUUGUGUUGUUCGGUUUCGAUUCAUAGUUCUAUUGGGAAUGGAUUUCAAGUGAAGAUCAAAUUUUGAAGAUCUGGUUCGAACCACUUUUACUGAUUUCAUAUUGGUUUUCUUUGACUUUUGCUAUUUUUGGAUUUGAAUUUGAAGAGUGAGAGGAGAUAGCAAAGGGACUGGCUUUAAGAAAAUUGCAGAAUCAUUUGAAACUUCAAUGGCUUCAGGAGUGGAGAUUGGUGAAGACGGUGAUACCAACAAAGGCAGUAUAUUUGAAUGUAUUUUUGUGAAUUUUAGGACUAUUUUUAUGAUAUCUUCAUGUGAUUUCUUAUUUUUAA
Molecule: non-coding RNA, 1076 nt
Organism: Prunus avium (sweet cherry)
Lineage: Eukaryota; Viridiplantae; Streptophyta; Magnoliopsida; Rosales; Rosaceae
Source: RefSeq, a predicted model, not a curated record